UCUACGGGUGGCAGCAGUGAGGAAUAUUGGUCAAUGGGCUUACGCCUGAACCAGCCAAGUCGCGUGAGGGAAGACUGCCCUAUGGGUUGUAAACCUCUUUUGUCAGGGAGCAACGCCGGCUACGUGUAGCCGGACUGAGAGUACCUGAAGAAAAAGCAUCGGCUAACUCCGUGCCAGCAGCCGCGGUAAUACGGAGGAUGCGAGCGUUAUCCGGAUUUAUUGGGUUUAAAGGGUGCGUAGGCGGAAUGCCAAGUCAGCGGUAAAAUCGCGGGGCUCAACCUCGCUCCGCCGUUGAAACUGGCGUUCUUGAGUGGGCGAGAAGUAUGCGGAAUGCGUGGUGUAGCGGUGAAAUGCAUAGAUAUCACGCAGAACCCCGAUUGCGAAGACAGCCUGCCAAGCCAUGACUGACGCUGAUGCACGAAAGCGUGGGGAUCAAACAGGAUUAGAUACCCGUGUAGUC
Molecule: ribosomal RNA, 460 nt
Filed under: uncultured bacterium
Lineage: Bacteria
Description: partial 16S ribosomal RNA
Rfam family: Bacterial small subunit ribosomal RNA
Source: RNAcentral